This 497-nucleotide ribosomal RNA is filed under the name uncultured bacterium. Its description in RNAcentral is "partial 16S ribosomal RNA". It matches the Rfam family "Bacterial small subunit ribosomal RNA", at positions 28 to 507 of the family's 1533-position model. The record is from RNAcentral.
GAUGAACGCUGGCGGCGUGCCUAAUACAUGCAAGUAGAACGCUGAAGGAAGGAGCUUGCUCUUUCCGGAUGAGUUGCGAACGGGUGAGUAACGCGUAGGUAACCUGCCUGGUAGCGGGGGAUAACUAUUGGAAACGAUAGCUAAUACCGCAUAACAGUAGAUGUUGCAUGAUAUCUACUUAAAAGGUGCAAUUGCACCACUACCAGAUGGACCUGCGUUGUAUUAGCUAGUUGGUGAGGUAACGGCUCACCAAGGCGACGAUACAUAGCCGACCUGAGAGGGUGAUCGGCCACACUGGGACUGAGACACGGCCCAGACUCCUACGGGAGGCAGCAGUAGGGAAUCUUCGGCAAUGGACGGAAGUCUGACCGAGCAACGCCGCGUGAGUGAAGAAGGUUUUCGGAUCGUAAAGCUCUGUUGUAAGAGAAGAACGAGUGUGAGAGUGGAAAGUUCACGCUGUGACGGUAUCUUACCAGAAAGGGACGGCUAACUACGUG